This 560-nucleotide ribosomal RNA is filed under the name uncultured bacterium. RNAcentral describes it as "bacterial SSU rRNA". It matches the Rfam family "Bacterial small subunit ribosomal RNA", at positions 509 to 1067 of the family's 1533-position model. The record is from RNAcentral.
CAGCAGCGCGGUAAUAGUAGGGAGCGAGCGUUAUCCGGAUUUACUGGGUGUAAAGGGCGAGUAGGCGGGCUGGUAAGUUGGAAGUGAAAUGUCGGGGCUUAACCCCGGAACUGCUUUCAAAACUGCUGGUCUUGAGUGAUGGAGAGGCAGGCGGAAUUCCUAGUGUAGCGGUGAAAUGCGUAGAUAUUAGGAGGAACACCAGUGGCGAAGGCGGCCUGCUGGACAUUAACUGACGCUGAGGAGCGAAAGCGUGGGGAGCAAACAGGAUUAGAUACCCUGGUAGUCCACGCCGUAAACGAUGGAUACUAGGUGUGGGAGGUAUUGACCCCUUCCGUGCCGCAGUUAACACAAUAAGUAUCCCACCUGGGGAGUACGACCGCAAGGUUGAAACUCAAAGGAAUUGACGGGGGCCCGCACAAGCAGUGGAGUAUGUGGUUUAAUUCGAAGCAACGCGAAGAACCUUACCUGGUCUUGACAUCCCGGUGACCGGUGUAGAGAUACACCUUUCCCUUCGGGGACAGCGGUGACAGGUGGUGCAUGGUUGUCGUCAGCUCGUGUCG